UAGACGGAUGCCCGCUGGUUUAGGUGCUUAGCUGUUAAUUAAGUGUUUGUAGGAUCGAGGCCUGCUCGUCUAGG
Molecule: transfer RNA, 74 nt
Filed under: Ophisternon candidum (blind cave eel)
Lineage: Eukaryota; Metazoa; Chordata; Actinopteri; Synbranchiformes; Synbranchidae
Description: tRNA-Asn
Source: RNAcentral